This is a small nucleolar RNA of Grammomys surdaster, 140 nucleotides long. RefSeq annotates it as small nucleolar RNA SNORA48. The record is from RefSeq and is a predicted model, not a curated record. The transcript has a single exon. Lineage: Eukaryota; Metazoa; Chordata; Mammalia; Rodentia; Muridae.
UCCCCCAGCAAUGGGCAAAGUGACACUUGUUGGGGGUUGUUCUUAUAUCAGUCAAGGGAAGAGCAGAUGGCGCUUCUUUGUUCAUUCUAGCUUGAUGCCUGGCUCAGUGUCCAAAUCCAUUUCAUGCAUAGUGCACAUAA